GUCUUAAUGGAAUAAACAUGUCAGAAAUUAAUGUAAUGACAUUUAGUAAAUGGAUUUCUAUAUCGUCCAACAUAUUAUUUACAAUGGAGGAGCGCCAAAAUGGCUGCACGGUGGCUUCAAUACAGCCCCCCCCCUGUCAGCCAUCCAGGGUUUAUACACAUCAUUAAGGAGAGACAAAAUGGCUGCAAUAGAGCACCCCCCUGUCAGCCAUCCAGGGUUUAUACACAUCAUUAAGGAGAGCCAAAAUGGCUUCAAUACAGCACCCCCCUGUCAGCCAUCCAGGGUUUAUACACAUCAUUAAGGAGAGCCAAAAUGGCUGCAAUACAGCACCCCCUGUCAGCCAUCCAGGGUUUAUACACAUCAUUAAGGAGAGCCAAAAUGGCUGCACGGUGGCUUCAAUACAGCACCCCCCUGUCAGCCAUCCAGGGUUUAUACACAUCAUUAAGGAGAGCCAAAAUGGCUUCAAUACAGCACCCCCCUGUCAGCCAUCCAGGGUUUAUACACAUCAUUAAGGAGAGCCAAAAUGGCUGCAAUACAGCACCCCCCUGUCAGCCAUCCAGGGUUUAUACACAUCAUUAAGGAGAGCCAAAAUGGCUGCAAUACAACACCCACCUGUCAGCCAUCCAGGGUUUAUACACAUCAUUAAGGAGAGCCAAAAUGGCUGCACGGUGGCUUCAAUACAGCACCCCCCUGUCAGCCAUCCAGGGUUUAUACACAUCAUUAAGGAGAGCCAAAAUGGCUGCAAUACAGCCCCCCCCCUGUCAGCCAUCCAGGGUUUAUACACAUCAUUAAGGAGAGCCAAAAUGGCUGCACGGUGGCUUCAAUACCAUCAACAAAACACCAAAUGAUGGAAUUUCCUCGUGGAAGAAUGGCGUCUCAUCCCUCCGAUAGACUUCCCAGACACUUGUAGAAUCGAUGUCAAGGUGUAUUAAAGCUGUUCUGGUUGGUGGAGGACCCGACGUCCUAUUAAAACACUGUUGGAGUUUCCUUUAUUCUCCCAGUUACCUGGUGGUUGGUGGAGGACCUGGAGUUUCCUUUAUUCUGCCAGUUACCUGGUGGACGACCCGACCUCCUAUUAAAACACUGUUGGAGUUUCCUUUAUUCUGCCAGUUACCUGGUGGACGACCCGACCUCUUAUUAAAACACUGUUGGAGUUUCCUUUAUUCUGCCAGUUACCUGGUGGACGACCCGACCUCCUAUUAAAACACUAUGUUGGAGUUUCCUUUAUUCUGCCAGUUACCUGGUGGACGACCCGACCUCCUAUUAAAACACUAUGUUGGAGUUUCCUUUAUUCUGCCAGUUACCUGGUGGUUGGUGGACCUGGAGUUUCCUUUAUUCUGCCAGUUACCUGGUGGACGACCCGACCUCCUAUUAAAACACUGUUGGUGUUUCCUUUAUUCUGCCAGUUACCUGGUGGUUGGUGGAGGACCUGGAGUUUCCUUUAUUCUGCCAGUUACCUGGUGGACGACCCGACGUCCUAUUAAAACACUGUUGGAGUUUCCUUUAUUCUGCCAGUUACCUGGUGGACGACCCGACCUCCUAUUAAAACACUGUUGGAGUUUCCUUUAUUCUGCCAGUUACCUGGUGGUUGGUGGACCUGGAGUUUCCUUUAUUCUGCCAGUUACCUGGUGGACGACCCGACCUAUUAAAACACUAUGUUGGAGUUUCCUUUAUUCUGGCAGUUACCUGGUGGUUGGUGGAGGACCUGGAGUUUCCUUUAUUCUGCCAGUUACCUCCUAUUAAAACACUUUAUGUUGCUGUUUCCUUCACAAGGUUCAUUUCCAUCUUGCUGUUUGUUGAAAGGUCAAGAUGUUUGGAUGUGUAUUUUAUUCUUCUGAUUGUUACAGAUUGGCUAAAUGCAGACAAAAUGCAACCCAAAACAGUCUUACCACAGUGUGCUUAUUGUGUGUGUGUGUGUGUGUGUGUGUGUGUGUGUGCGUGUGCUUAUUGUGUGUGUGUGUGUGUUGCGUCAGGUCUGCUUUCACCUAGUUAUGUAUAGCUGUUGUGUUUCAAUGUCAAAGUAUUAUUCAGGUCCUGAGGGCCAAAACAUUUCUGCUUUCUCUUCCUACCUGAUGUCCCCAGGUCUGAAUGAGUCUCUCUACCUGAUGUCCCCAGGUCUGAAUGAGUCUCUCUACCUGAUGUCCCCAGGUCUGAAUGAGUCUCAACCUGUUGUCCCCAGGUCUGAAUGAGUCUCGGGUCUGAACGAGUCUCGGAUUACAGGUAGAGGAUGAGAACCAGUAGUGUUUCGUCCCUCCAGGACCAGAAAGAAAUAGCCCUUGGCUAGAUUCAAUCUGAUCCGCAGAAGAUCCGGGUUAUAGUUCACCUUUAAAAAAACCAAAAAGGUAAUUUAGGAUUGAGCCUACUGUUAACGUGGAAACUUUACCUUUUAAUAAGGUGCACAGCCGAAAAGAGGAGAUCGGAUUUGAAUCUAGGAACAGCUUCCUCCCUCCAGUCCUAACGAGGGGUGAGAGAUAUAUAUAUAUAUAUGGGUCCCGUGUGGCUCAGUUGGUAGAGCAUGGGUGUUUGCAACGCCAGGGUUGUGGGUUCGAUUCCCACGGGGGACCAAUACGGGGGGGGGAAAUGUCUGAAAUGUAUGCAUUCACUACUGUAAGUCGCUCUGGAUAAGAGCGUCUGCUAAAAUGACUAAAAUGUAAAUGUUAAUAACUGAUCUAGGAUCAGUUUCCUCCCUCCAGUCCUAACAGGUCACCAUUAGAGAGGUGAUAUAUAUAUAUAUAUAACUGAUCUAGGACCAGUCCUAACAGGUCACCAUUAGAGAGGUGAUAUAUAUAUAUAUAUGACUGAUCUAGGAUCAGUCCUAACGGGUCACCAUUAGAGAGGUGAUAUAUAUAUAUAUAUAUAUAACUGAUCUAGGACCAGUGUUGAACAGGUCACCAUUAGAGAGGUGAUAUAUAUAUAUAUAUAUAUAUAACUGAUCUAGGACCAGUGUUAAACAGAGCUGAAUGUCUGUCUGGUUCAUACCAUUUAUGAUGCUGAUGUAUUGUUAUUAUAAUGACAUUAAAUUAUUGAAUGUUUCUGUCG
This 3039-nucleotide long non-coding RNA is filed under the name Salmo salar (Atlantic salmon). RNAcentral's name for it is "lncRNA (ENSSSAG00000112056.1)". The stretch from base 2595 to 2649 matches the Rfam family "UnaL2 LINE 3' element". Lineage: Eukaryota; Metazoa; Chordata; Actinopteri; Salmoniformes; Salmonidae. The record is from RNAcentral.